AACGUAGGUACCGAGCGUUAUCCGGAUUUACUGGGCGUAAAGCGUGUUCAGGCGGCCUGGCAAGUCGGGCAUGAAAUCUCUCGGCUCAACCGGGAGAGGCUGUCCGAUACUGCUGGGCUUGAGGACGGUAGAGGGUGGUGGAAUUCCGCGUGUAGUGGUGAAAUGCGUAGAUAUGCGGAGGAACACCAGUGGCGAAGGCGGCCUUCUGGUCCAGUACUGACACUCAAGUGCGAAAGCGUGGGGAGCAAACAGG
RNAcentral lists this ribosomal RNA (253 nucleotides) under uncultured bacterium. Its description in RNAcentral is "partial 16S ribosomal RNA". It matches the Rfam family "Bacterial small subunit ribosomal RNA", at positions 524 to 776 of the family's 1533-position model. The record is from RNAcentral.